This 501-nucleotide ribosomal RNA is filed under the name uncultured bacterium. Its description in RNAcentral is "partial 16S ribosomal RNA". It matches the Rfam family "Bacterial small subunit ribosomal RNA", at positions 30 to 523 of the family's 1533-position model. The record is from RNAcentral.
AUUGAACGCUGGCGGCAGGCUUAACACAUGCAAGUCGAGCGGGGGAAGGUAGCUUGCUACUGGACCUAGCGGCGGACGGGUGAGUAAUGCUUAGGAAUCUGCCUAUUAGUGGGGGACAACAUCUCGAAAGGGAUGCUCAUACCGCAUACGUCCUACGGGAGCAAGCAGGGGAUCUUCGGACCUUGCGCUACUAGAUGAGCCUAAGUCGGAUUAGCGAGUUGGUGGGGUAAAGGCCUACCAAGGGGACGAUCUGCAGCGGGUCUGAGAGGAUGAUCCGCCACACUGGGACUGAGACACGGCCCAGACUCAUACGGGAGGCAGCAGUGGGGAAUAUUGGACAAUGGGGGGAACCCUGAUCCAGCCAUGCCGCGUGUGUGAAGAAGGCCUUAUGGUUGUAAAGCACUUUAAGCGAGGAGGAGGCUACUCUAGUUAAUACCUAGGGAUAGUGGACGUUACUCGCAGAAUAAGCACCGGCUAACUCUGUGCCAGCCGCCGCGGUAA